Molecule: long non-coding RNA, 2304 nt
Organism: Sus scrofa (pig)
Lineage: Eukaryota; Metazoa; Chordata; Mammalia; Artiodactyla; Suidae
Source: RefSeq, a predicted model, not a curated record
AGUCCAGGAAGGAAAGAGGUUCGUUAGCAUUAAAUGAAAGGCUUGUCAUGGACCAGAGGAUCUGGAACAUCGGAUUACUCAUCUGGUGGCAGGUGGGUGUCGGAGCUGGCUGUGGACCCCACCGUCUGUAGCCAGUCCGCAGCAGCUUUCCUCUCUGGCAAACUCACAGCAAGCAUGCAGGGUGAUAAAACGGCAGUGACAAAUCCAGUGCAAUCAGGUGGGAAAUCCCCCCUGAGUAAUAACACCUCCUCAUCGCUCAUCCCGACCUCUUCCCCUGAGCCCCGCGUCUGCCGCUGAGAACUCAGCGCUGUUUUACCUUCAGCCCUGAGCUCCGCACAGGAAAAAGAAGAGAAAAGUGAGACACGGGAGUCUGGAGGAUCUCAAUCAAUGGUCAGAAAGGAGUACCCAGAAUGUCUACUGAUUGCCUCACUCCACGCAGAAUAUGCAACAUUCAUCCUUUCUCUAUCGCACCCUCCCUGCAUCUCCCAUCAUUCUUGACUCAGAGAAGAAGGCGUCAAGCAUCCUUUCAAGUACCUUCCCCAGGGUUGUCAUCAACUUAACUCCUCUUCAGUUUCCACUGCUACUAGUAAAGUAAUCAUGAUUUACGAAGAAUCCAUGGAAAAAUUUUGCAUCUAUUAAUUAUCUGACUUAAUCUUUACCAGAUCGUUAUUAAGCAAGAAUUACUAUUACCCUGAUUUUCACAGAUGAGGAAAUUGAGGAUAAGGAAAUUUAGGAACCUGCCUAGAGUUACACAACAAGGAAGUUGCAGAGGGGAGGGUUUUUGCCAAGGUUUCUAUGAUUCCAAUGUUAUCACUUUUCUAAUGCAUCUGCUGACCGAGACUGAAGAAUCAACUACCUCCUCCAGAAGGUCAGUUACCCAAGAAAUCUCUGGGACUGAGGAGAACGGGGGAACAGGAGACAGAUCGGAGAGGCUGGGACAUGGAGAUUUGCUUCAUAUGCAAAGAACUCAUCUCCUAGAAUUUUGCAGCAUCUUCCAGAGUCUAAGCUUGUGUUUUGACGUGCCCUUUCCAAGACAAGGGGAUACGUGAAGCUCAGUGAAUCAGGAGCGUUUACGGAGGAGAAAGAAAAUAAGAUCUUCUCCCCAGCUAAAAAUCCAGGCAUUGUCCUUGGCUGGAAAACCUCUCUUGGAUUGUAUGGACAGACUGAAAAUACAUCUUAGCAUCCAAACAUAGACAGCCAGGGCAUGGACUCAGGCUUGAUGCCCAAAGAGAUCCUCAUCAUCAUACCUUAGAAGUACCACAUCCUUUGUUCUUCCUGGCUAAACCCCUUCAGCCAACAUCCCUGCCUGCAGGGUAAGCAAUUUACUUACAGUUAAACUGCUAAUAAGUAGGGAAUCAUGGAUCAAUCAGAAACACUAAAUAUUUCAAAAUAUUUAGGGUCAAUAUUUCAAAAAACAUUGCAACAUUUGUACAUUUACCUGCUACAAGUUUGCAUGGGCAGGAACCAUAUCAAGUCCAUUAAAAUUCCUGAUUUCCUUAUGUCUAGCAAAAUCUUUGAUCACUAGUUAUGUAUAUUUCAGUUAAUAAAAAUGAAGAGCAUGAGUACUCUUCCAUAAGAAAUGCAGCGUGUUGGGAUAUACAGAAUUUUGCAAAACAGAGUAGAAUGGGGAUGGUUAUCAUAACACAGUGGGCCCAUCAGUGUAGUGGAGUUCAACAUUUUUGAUUCCUUCCAAAUUUCCAGAUUUCAUCUUUGAUGUUGGGAAUGUAAAGACUGAUAUAGCACAAUCAUGGUCCUCCAGAAAUGUAUCAGAUUGUUGGGGAAACAAAUAGAUGCAGAAAUAGUUAUCUGCGUGAUACAGCAAAUACAAACAUGUGCAAGAUGCUCCAAGGAUGUAGAAAGAGAAGCCCUGGUUGGGCUUGUGUGGAGGAGAUGUGGGAAAGGGGGCUUUCUCAAGGAAGCGAUGUCUGAACUCAGACGUGAAGGAACAGCAGAGCUUACCCUCCCCACAGGAGGUUGUACUGUACAGCAUGAGCAAAGAAAGGAGGAAGGUGUAAAGACAUUACCUUUGGUGCAAAGAUUGGCAUAGCUGUCCCACAACCUAUUUGAAUUAACAUUUGUCAAUGAGACACCAACAUCAAAUGCUAUCACUGACAUGUGGAAUCUAAAAAAAGGACACAAUGAACUUCUUUGCAGAACAGAUACUGACUCACAGACUUUGAAAAACUUACGGUUUCCAAAUGAGACAGGUUAGCGGGUGGGGGGAUGCACUGAGGGUUUGGGAUGGAAAUGCUGUAAAAUUUGGUUGUGAUGAUUGUUGUACACCUAUAAAUGUAAUAAAAUUCA